GAAGGCGGUCACUGGACGUGCCUGUUACGAGCCCGUUUUUGUUUUGCUUAAGAAACAGAUUCCGAUCCGAGCAAAGCCUCCCUACCUCCCGGGGAAUAGGGGGAGAUGGCAGCACGGUGCCGGCGUGGAGAGCGAGAAUAAAAGAACUGCCGAGUACAACCUGUCGUGCAAGCUAGCAGCGCCGGGAAGGAAAGAACCUGGACAAUGAGUCCACUUGCAGUACCAGCUUUAGGCCCAGAGGAGACAUGAGACAUCAAUCAACAUAUGUAAAAUGAACAUUGGUUUGGACUCUGAGGUGAGGAGGGAGCUUGGAGGCUUUCAGAUCACAGGUUCGGGAUGGCACGUUCCUAAUUCCCUCUUGACCACAAAAUGUGAGGAUCUAGCCUCAAAUCUGCAACGCUUGCGUCUAAGAAAAAAAUUGUUUUUAAAUUUCCAUUUAACAGAAAUACAGAUGCAGAGCCAUAUAAUCAUCGGUCUUUGAUCACUCAGCAAAUCACAGAACAAGGAACAAAUCCUAGAGGGGAUGACAGGCCAGUUUUUGACCCUAUAGCCCAGCAACCUCAACACAGAACCGGAACCUUUCCCACAUUAAUCGCAAGGCAAGCAAGUGACAGAUUUUUACUUUUUAGUUCAAUCUUUUUAAAUCAAUUAUAAAAGAUGACAAAUAUACACCUCUCUUGGGAUACUUUAGAUAGGGCCUUAUAUAAGUAUUAUAUGUCCUAAAAUCAGGCAGAUCUUUCUUUAUCCCCGUCACAUAUUUUACAUUUCUGAAAGUAAAACAGGAAAUUACUUCAAGAAAAUGCCUGGAAGAAAAGCAAAUAUUUUCAAACUAUUCAGAAGAAUGGAAUUUUUCAAAAAUUAAAAGUU
This is a long non-coding RNA of Homo sapiens (human), 867 nucleotides long. RefSeq annotates it as ELF2 divergent transcript. The transcript has 4 exons. NCBI's taxonomy places the organism in Eukaryota, Metazoa, Chordata, Mammalia, Primates, Hominidae. The record is from RefSeq and is a predicted model, not a curated record.